GAAAGGUAUUGACCCCAAUCUGUAGGUUGAAGGAUUUUUUGUAUCUAGUACGUUGAAUAUGCUUGGUCAAUAUGGGUUUUAUCAAGGAAAAAGUAUUUAAAUUUGGCUAACUCGGUUACUUCAAGAAUUGCUAUGUAGUAAGGUUGGGUUUUUGUCAAAGCCUAUGGUUUAAAAUGCCAACUUUGGGAAGGAAAAUUUUUGAAAUUGCUUUAGAGGGGUUUUUAUGGAAAAAUUCAUGAAAUUUUUUAAAUUACUACAACGGGGUUUUUAUGAAAAAAUUCAUUCUCUAUAGUCAAUAUGUCUUGAAAAUGAGAUUUCAAAGAAUAUUUAGAAACUAUUUUUGUAAGUUUUGUCUAAGACAAAACGAUUGAGAGUUGUUUGAAAAAAUAUUUUGAGAAAGUGUUUUUUGAAAAGAACUUUCUCCUUUCUCCAAUGAUGUGGAAAUAGGUUUAGAAGGUAUACUUUUUUGGUUUUGUAGAGUCUGCACCUGUGAGAAGAAGUUCUAGAGAUUUGGAUAGUGAUUUAACCUACCACAUACAAAAAAAUUUUCACCCUGCAGAUUGGGGUCAAGACUUUUCAAAAUCCAAUACUUUUCCUGCCAGUUUCAAAACUAAAUUAAAUCACUGCUCAUCCUUCAAUUACUGGGAUUAUCAACAAGCUUGGUUUAAUACUUUUCUCAUGAAAAAUCAUAAGCAUAACCAUUCUUAGUUGUUCUAUUUCAAAACUAAUAUCGAUCCUACAAAAAUCUCUUCCUGGUUUGUUCAAUGUUGAAAUUACUUUGGGACUAUUUCAGACCU
RNAcentral lists this unclassified non-coding RNA (797 nucleotides) under Hevea brasiliensis (rubber tree). Lineage: Eukaryota; Viridiplantae; Streptophyta; Magnoliopsida; Malpighiales; Euphorbiaceae. The record is from RNAcentral.